This 2511-nucleotide long non-coding RNA is filed under the name Elaeis guineensis (African oil palm). Its description in RNAcentral is "long non-coding RNA (EGUI_LNC043843)". The record is from RNAcentral. Lineage: Eukaryota; Viridiplantae; Streptophyta; Magnoliopsida; Arecales; Arecaceae.
CCGAUCAUAGGAUUAUCAUGAGGAUGAUGAUCGAUUCAGAUAGAAUGGCGCAUAGAUCACUUUCUUUGGGAUAGAUGGGUCUUUAGUCCACAGUGUAAAGACACUGGAUGACGAGUGCGGAUAGUUACUAGAGAACAACUAGCACUAAGUAUGACCAUACAAGAGAUCAUUUGGAUUUCUAUUCAAUCAUCAGUGAUUGUCUCAAUAUUGUAGUUGUGUCAAUGAUUCUUUGACCUGAGAUUCUACUACUACUCACAGUGAGGCUACUGGAGUUUGACUGACAUAUAAAUAUGGGUCUCAAUGAGGCCUUGUAGUAGAUGUUGGCGACAGUUGGUCCACUGUAGGAGCAAGGUGCGCAUCCAAAUGAGAUCUAUCAACCUUGAUAGAGAGGAGUAGUCCUAUAAGAUUUGAAAGGCUAAGUCCAAAAAUCUAUGGUCAUAGUAAUAUGAUUGAUGGAAAAGAGUUUUCAUAGAAAUUAUAAUUGGACUUGAGCUGAUCGAAUCUAUCAUAUGACUGAUGUUGAGGUUCGAUGAUUUAUCCAUGACCUGUCAUCUAUUCGAAACUCAUGAUAGAGGGACUGAAUCACACGUUAACUAUACCUAAAGGUUCAUUUCAGUUUUACUGGAUUGCCACUAUAUACUGUUAGGUGUCACUGAUAGAUUGUGAGAGCUCACCAGGGUUGUUCCGGAUCGAUAAUUCUUAAUGAGUUGGAAUAGAAUUGUUCCUUAACAACCACCUGCACUCUCACUCCAAUAUCUCUAUACCGUAGACUCGAGACUCAUCUGUCCUAAAGGGAGGUAAUCUGUGCACCGAUCUUGAAUGGAUUGAUCACUGUCCUCCAUGAUGAUCUUUCGAUCGAGAAAAUUUAGAAAUUAACCACUAUUGAUGUAUGUCUCAAAUUCUCAACAUCUUAAGAAUAUACAAAAUCAUCUUUGUUAAUUUCUAAAAUAAAUCAUAGACACAUAAGACAUGAUUGGUUAUAAUGAUUGUCCAACAAGUACAAAAUAUAUCCUAGAAAAAUGUAUGUGUCAGCUAAGAUUGACUUCUAAGGCACACAUCCAACAAACUCCCACUUAUACUAAAGCCAAUCUGCCAUAUGCCUGAGCCCCAUCUUCUGAAGAUAGGCUUCAGUGUUUAGCUAGCCAAGUAUCUUGGGCCUACCACUAUUAUGUGGAGUCUGCUCUCUGUAUCUCCAUGUAUUUCUACUUGAGGUAAUCGCAUAUAUCUCUACUCUAUGUACAGAGACUUUUGGUGAGAUCUUGGCUCCUUAGCAAGGGCUAUAGACCAUUAUCUUUGUAGUACAAUGUUAUAGCAUCUAAUAGUAUGACAUCUAGUUCUAAAACUAUCAUAAGAAUCAGAACACAUCCUACACAUCUACAGCAUAUUCAGCUUCCAUUGAUCGAUUGUUUGGAACCCUUCCAACAAAUCGAACCAACAUAACUCAAGAAUACAUGCUGAUGUAGAUAUUCUACGAUCAGCAUCAAUGUAUCCUCCCACUUUUAGCUCUAACCCUUCUUCAAAGAUGAGGAAUAAUCUCUUAGUACUUCUCAAAUACUAAGAGAUAUUUUCACAGCAAUCCAAUGCUCCUAGUUUGGAUUCGACUAAUAUCUACUUGUGACUUUCAUAGCAAGAUAUAUUAAGUCGAGUACAUAGCAUGGCAUUCACCUAUGCCCAAGAGGAUAACGGAUCUCUUUUGAAAGUUUCAAUGCUGAAUCCUUUCAGUACAUCUUCUAUGUACUUGUUUGUAAAAAUCAAACAUCCUUUUAGGAUCUAUCUCUAUAGACCUUUUAUUUUUAGAAUAUUUGAUCUAAAUCUUUGAAAAAAAAUUCUAUAUGUAACCACAUCAUAACCGAUAUCAAUAUGGGACCCUCCCACUGACCUUCAUAUAACUACAUGAUUCCUCAUAUCACAUCGUUAUAGAUUUUGGGAUCAUCCUUAUGUUCCUAAUCUCCCUCGAGAAAUACUUUUUCUGAUUCCUUUGUAAGAAUACGAAGUACCUUUCUAAAGGAUGGGAGAUCCUACUAGAUCUACGAGAUAGAGGAGGUACUAUAUAUACUGGCUCAUCUUAAAUAGAUUGUACAGGUUCUAUUACUCAUUGUUCUUUAGAGAUUUCUCUUUGAGUUCAUCCUCCUACUAUUUUUAAGAAAAUAGUAUGAUUGCUCACAAUCAUAUUGUGAACCACUGGAAAGAGAAAGUGAUAUCUCAAACAUCUUUUGGGAUACCAUAUAAACGAGCUCUCACAGAACUUUCCUCAAACUUGUCCACCAUUUCAUAUCUCACAUGGUAUGGUGAAACCAACUUUAGAAGAAACCUAAUUUAAAUUUUAGAAAUUAAAUCUUGUUUCUAAAGAAACAAUAGUUAAAUUAGUGACGUUCAUGAUGGAUCGGACCAUAUCUCAUACAGUGCCAUUGUACCUCACAGAUACAUCGUUGAGUUGAGGUGUACAAGAAGAAUUCCAUCAUGAAACUAUGUCAUUCUCUUUAGAUAAUCGAUAAUUUUUUUAAUUUGGUA